GGCGUCCAUCUUCAGACUUGCCCUCCCUGUUAACAGAAGGACAGAGAUACAGAAUCUAUCAUCUUUCGGUGUCAAAAUCGAAGAAUAAAUUUGAGUGGCCCAGCAUCCAGUUAACAGCCACAAAGAGAACUCAGUAUCAACAGCUGCCGGUCCGCGCCUCCCCUUACUCGUUCUCCACCUUGAUCAUUGCAGAGCUCUCUUCACAGUCUCAGUUUGCCGACUCUUUGUUCUGCUUCCUGUAGGUUUCCAGUGAGACCCUGCUCCAGCUUUACCAGCCCAGGGAGCUCCUUCCCUUCAGCAAACUGUCAGAUCCAGCCUUCCAGCCACCUUGUUCUGAAGUGGAUGUAGUAGGAGUUGUAGUUUCUGUUGUAAAACCAAUAG
This 381-nucleotide long non-coding RNA is filed under the name Rattus norvegicus (Norway rat). RNAcentral's name for it is "long non-coding RNA NONRATT007200". Lineage: Eukaryota; Metazoa; Chordata; Mammalia; Rodentia; Muridae. The record is from RNAcentral.